ACACAAACAAACAAGGGGGAAGUGACACUGACGGUGACAACUCGAUGGUCCGCUGCUGUUGCCACUGGGAAGAUGCUUGCCGGGGACAGUAGUGAAUGACGGCUCCUCCAUCGAUCUACAGGAGUACAAAUCAAUAACCAGGUAUCACUGAAAAAGAAGAGGGACAAAGAAGUUGCUGUUUGUUUGUGUUAGAACAAGCUUGUUUAAUAUGGUGGAAAAAGAGCCAAACUAAGAAAGAGACGGAGAAAUUUGGUUUAGGUUUCACAGGGUAUAAUUGAUCUGAAUCUAAUCCAUACGCAAAUUGGUGGGGGAAAUGGGUAUAGAUUUGGGCAUAGGAGUGGUUGAUUACACCAUCACUGUUCUCCUUUGCCGGAAGAACAUAUUUGAGUCUCCAAAGGGUUGAAGUUGCAUCUCAUGAUUCCAGUAGAUGAUGAAGGUCUGCAUGUUUCCAUGGAGGAGAAACAACUGUGAAGUAUGCAUUGCAUUACAGAGAAAACCACAUCACAAGUAUGUAUUCAUCUGCAUUCAACACUGAAGAAGCCAUCAUCUCAGUAUUACCUACUGAGAAGUACCAUACGCUCAUUAUCUUCCGUCACGAAUUCACCAUUGAUGAAGGGAAUAUUUUGAAGCGACAGCAUCUGAGUGCUACAUGUCCUGAUCACAUUGUAGGCUGCGGUGAUCUAAUUUACUGAUUGCAAUGACUGUCAAAUAGGCUUGUUCUAUCCUAUUGUACAAACAGCCAAUGCAAGUAAGAUUGAUCAUGAGACAAACUAGAAUGACUUUGUCGAUAA
Molecule: non-coding RNA, 791 nt
Organism: Musa acuminata subsp. malaccensis (wild Malaysian banana)
Lineage: Eukaryota; Viridiplantae; Streptophyta; Magnoliopsida; Zingiberales; Musaceae
Source: RefSeq, a predicted model, not a curated record